This is a long non-coding RNA of Olea europaea var. sylvestris, 2620 nucleotides long. RefSeq lists it as uncharacterized. The transcript is spliced from 2 exons. Lineage: Eukaryota; Viridiplantae; Streptophyta; Magnoliopsida; Lamiales; Oleaceae. The record is from RefSeq and is a predicted model, not a curated record.
AAACAUAAGCCCAUUUGCUGAUUUGCACUCGAGCCCAUUUAUUUAGCUUAAACUACCAAUACAUUCCUAUUUCCUCCAUGUGAUUCGUGAAUCGGUAAAUGCAUUUCUAACUCAUCAAUAGCCCUAAAAUUUAAAUCCCACGCAGCCAUGCUGACGACGCCGCAGAGAGAAUCAUCUAUGGACUAUGGUGAUUUGCUGAUUCAUCAUUCAUAUUUCUGGAUUUUGCUCUUCUAAUUGGCAGCCGACAGCCUAAUUGUGGAGUGGAGAUAUAAGCUGCUUGAUGAAAAGAGAUUAUUAUCAAUUUCAAGUUUAGAUAUCAUUCCCAAUUUCAAUUUUCAAGUAAGUAAUGACUUUCUCUAACUUGAUGAAAUAGACUUGUUCAUGAAAUUAAUUGUUGCGUAAUAUUAUUUAUGAAUUUCGUGUUGCCCUUUGAUAAAAAAAUGAAAUAUGAUAUUAAUAAAUUUGUGUAUUGAAUUUGAUUUUAUAACAGUUAUGGAGAGAUAUUUUAAACAAAAAUCCGUAAUUUCAAGUGGAGAGCAGAAUGUAGUUGAAGCGAGUGUUCAAGAUAAAAUAGAUGACCUAGAAGAAACAAAUAUUGGGGGUAAAAUAGAUGUUCAAGACAAAAUUGAUUUAGCACAACUUUCUUCAGAUCCUGGAUUGAGAACUCCAAUUGUGAAUUACAAUGUUAAUGUUCAGGAUAAAAUUUGAAGAGCAUAUAUAUAAAGGGGUCCAUGUCAGCCUCGAAAUCAUAAGUAUCCACAAAAAGAAUUUGGAGAUUUGUCCUUAAGGAGAUUUAAAUCUUCCUGAUUUAAUGACUUCCCUAAUUGGUUGGAAUAUAGUAUAGAAAAAAGAUGUUCUAUUUUUUUUUUUUUUUUUUUUUUUUGUUAUCUUUUCAAAUCAAAUAGUGAAGAACAUGGCGGUGGUGAUACUUUUGUUGAUGGAGGGUUUUCAAAUUGGAAAAAGAAAGGACGGAUUCAAACUCAUGUUGGUGCGCACAAUCAAACACGGAUUAAGUAUUAGGCUUCUGUGACUCAAAAACAAAAUAUUGAUAGUGUUCUCUUUAAAAAGUCGAAGAGAACAAAAUAUGAGUACCGAGUUCGUUUGAAUGCAUCAAAUGAUUGUGUUCGAUUACUUUUACGGCAAGGGCUUUCAUUUCGUGAAAAUAAUGAAUCUGAAGAUUCUAGGAAUCAAGGGAAUUUUCUUGAACUGUUGAAGUGGUUAUGUAAGGCUUCUUGUUUGAGAAAUGCUCCCGAAAAUCUUCAAUUGACAUCACCUAGUAUUCAAAAGGAUAUUGUGAUUGCUAUUGCAUUUGAAACACUUGAUGUUAUUAUGAAAGAUAUUGGUGAUGGGUUGUUUUCUAUUCUUGUUGAUGAAUCUCGUGAUGUUUCAGUGAAUGAGCAGAUGUCAAUUGUUUUACGUUAUAUGAAUAAGAAAGGACAAGUAAUGGAACGUUUUAUCGGUGUUGAGCAUGUGUCUAGUACUAUAGCUCUCUCACUUAACGAUGCCAUUGAACACUUAUUCUCUAGAUUUAACUUAAGUAUAUCUAGUUUAAGAGGUCAAGGUUACGAUAGGGUAAGUAAUAUGCAAGGUGAGUAUAAUGGUCUUAAAGCACUUAUUUUGAAAUAGAAUUCGAGUGAUUUCUAUAUUCAUUGUUUUGCUCAUCAGCUGCAACUAGCUCUUAUAGUCAUGGCAAACAAACAUGCAGAGAUUGAAACAUUCUUUACUCUAGUGAAUAAAGUGGUGAAUGUUGUUGGAGGAUCGACUAAGCGGUGUGAUCUUCUUUGAGAGAAGAAGAGGCUUGAAGCUGUUGAAUCAUUGAAUCUUGGUGAAAUCUCAAGUAGAAAAGGACUUAAUCAAGAAACUAAUUGGCGACCCAGUGAUACUUGUUGGGCUCUCACUAUAGUUAUUUACUUAGCUUGAUUAUCAUGUUUUCUGCUACAGUUGAUGUAAUUGAGAUGAUUGCCACCGAUGAAACUAGUUUUGGACAGAGAGGUGAAGCUCGUAUUCUAUUGGGAUUUAUGUUAACAUUUGCUUUUGUACUCAGUCUGCAUUUCAUGAAAAAGGUAUUGGGUAUUUCAGAUGAGUUGUCAAAAUCAUUACAAAGAAGAGAUUAAGACAUUGUUAAUGCUAUGAAAUUGGUGAAAAUAUGUAAAAAAAAAUGACUUCAAAUAACGAGGGACAAUGAAUGAGACUCAUUUUUACAAAUAGUUUCUUGUUUUUGCGAAAGGCACAACAUUGAUGUUCCCAACAUGGAUGAUAUGUUUAUACCUCUAGGUCGCUCACUGCGUAACACUCAAGGAAUAACAAAUCUACAUCAUUUUUGUGUGAAUUUCUUCUAUGCUAUCAUCGAUCUGCAAAUUCAAGAGUUGAAUGAUCGUUUCUCUGAGACAAAUAGCAACUUACUCCUUUAUAUUGCAUGCUUAUGUCCGAAAAAUUCAUUUUCUGUUUUUGACAAGGACAACUUACUUCAAUUCUGUAAGUAUUAUUCUAAUAAUUUUAAACCAGUAGAGAUCUUGACACUUGAAGGGCAACUUCAAACAUAUAUUAUUGAUAUGCGCAGUCACAAAGAUUUUGAAGGGUUACGAAGCCUUAAUGAUCUUGCGGAAAAGUUGGUAUUGAC